AGAAUAUAGAUUAAAUUAAUAUAUUCAUUUAUAUUUUAUAAAUGAGUCUAUAUAUGCAAACUUUCGUGUCCAACGGAAAUUAACGUACUUUAUUCCAAUUAUUUUAAAAGAAUCCGUUGUUUUCUCUAAAGAAAACUUGAAAAUUACAAGGAAAAUCGGACGAUUCAGACUCCUGAAGACAAGUAUCUGAUGAAGAUGUCAUCACCUGACAAGAUUUUGUAGACGGAACAAAUGAUAAUGAGGCACAUGAUGUAGAAGGAGACUCUGUUGAAGUAGAUGACGAAGGCAAAUUGGAUUCUGUUUUCAGAAGUCCAUCGAUUACGUUACUUCUUUUCUUUUUCCUUUUGUGGCAAAACGAUUCCAAAUCGUUGUUUUAGAAUCUCUUCGUCGUUCGGGAUUUCCGGGGCUAGAACUUGAAGAUCUGUUGCAGACAAUUCUGUCAAAACAUCCUGAGGUUGUUCCAAUAUGAUGUUUGGACCACUAUCCUGAAAAGAAAUGGAAUUUAAGAUAAAAAUACCCAAAGUUUAAAAAAUUUUAAAUAGUAUUAUCGAUGAUUGUUCCAAGAAUAUUUUCAAAUAGUAAAAUGUCAGUAAGAUGACCGCGCAAUAAGGCUGUGGAAACUAAACAUCCGGAAUAAAAUUCAAUUUGGAUCCUUAGACUCGAAUUACUCACGUUACAAUUCGAACGAGUU
This 691-nucleotide long non-coding RNA is filed under the name Centruroides sculpturatus (bark scorpion). RNAcentral's name for it is "uncharacterized LOC111620171, transcript variant X1". The record is from RNAcentral. Lineage: Eukaryota; Metazoa; Arthropoda; Arachnida; Scorpiones; Buthidae.